GGCCUAUGAUUUAGAACAUUUGUCCGUACCAUCUGAGAAGUAUUUCGAUGGAGUAUACAAUCAAAUUCUACAUUCUGAGGCCU
This is a small nucleolar RNA of Benincasa hispida (wax gourd), 83 nucleotides long. RefSeq annotates it as small nucleolar RNA snoR117. The record is from RefSeq and is a predicted model, not a curated record. NCBI's taxonomy places the organism in Eukaryota, Viridiplantae, Streptophyta, Magnoliopsida, Cucurbitales, Cucurbitaceae.